CCUACGAGAUGCAGCAGUGAGGAAUAUUGGUCAAUGGGCGUAAGACUGAACCAGCCAAGUCGCGUGAGGGAUGAAGGUUCUAUGGAUCGUAAACCUCUUUUAUAAGGGAAUAAAGUGCGGGACGUGUCCCGUUUUGUAUGUACCUUAUGAAUAAGGAUCGGCUAACUCCGUGCCAGCAGCCGCGGUAAUACGGAGGAUCGGAGCGUUAUCCGGAUUUAUUGGGUUUAAAGGGUGGGUAGGCGGGCUUUUGAGGCAGCGGUGAAAGUCGGUGGCUCAACCAUAGGAUGGCCGGUGAAACUGGGAGGCGUGAGUAUGUGUGAGGCAGGCGGAAUGGGCGGUGUAGGGGGG
Molecule: ribosomal RNA, 348 nt
Filed under: uncultured bacterium
Lineage: Bacteria
Description: partial 16S ribosomal RNA
Rfam family: Bacterial small subunit ribosomal RNA
Source: RNAcentral